This 65-nucleotide transfer RNA is filed under the name Dipodomys ordii (Ord's kangaroo rat). It matches the Rfam family "tRNA". Rfam says of the family: Transfer RNA (tRNA) molecules are approximately 80 nucleotides in length. Their secondary structure includes four short double-helical elements and three loops (D, anti-codon, and T loops). Lineage: Eukaryota; Metazoa; Chordata; Mammalia; Rodentia; Heteromyidae. The record is from Rfam by way of RNAcentral.
GGUGGCUUAGUGGUGAAGUACUUGCCUAGCAUGCAUGAGGCCCUGGGUUCGAUUCCUCAGCACCA